RNAcentral lists this unclassified non-coding RNA (351 nucleotides) under soil metagenome. Its description in RNAcentral is "partial contains 5.8S ribosomal RNA, internal transcribed spacer 2, and large subunit ribosomal RNA". The stretch from base 1 to 120 matches the Rfam family "5.8S ribosomal RNA", at positions 35 to 154 of the family's 154-position model. The record is from RNAcentral.
GAUGAAGAACGUAGCGAAAUGCGAUAAGUAAUGUGAAUUGCAGAAUUCAGUGAAUCAUCGAAUCUUUGAACGCACAUUGCGCCCGCCAGUAUUCUGGCGGGCAUGCCUGUUCGAGCGUCAUUACAACCCUCAGGCCCCCGGGCCUGGCGUUGGGGAUCGGCGGAAGCCCCCUGCGGGCACAACGCCGUCCCCCAAAUACAGUGGCGGUCCCGCCGCAGCUUCCAUUGCGUAGUAGCUAACACCUCGCAACUGGAGAGCGGCGCGGCCACGCCGUAAAACACCCAACUUCUGAAUGUUGACCUCGAAUCAGGUAGGAAUACCCGCUGAACUUAAGCAUAUCAAUAAGCGGAA